RNAcentral lists this ribosomal RNA (526 nucleotides) under uncultured bacterium. Its description in RNAcentral is "bacterial SSU rRNA". It matches the Rfam family "Bacterial small subunit ribosomal RNA", at positions 791 to 1317 of the family's 1533-position model. The record is from RNAcentral.
UAGUCCACGCCGUAAACGAUGAGAACUAGAUGUUGGAGGGAUUACCCUUUAGUAUCGAAGCUAACGCGUUAAGUUCUCCGCCUGGGGAGUACGGCCGCAAGGCUAAAACUCAAAGGAAUUGACGGGGACCCGCACAAGCGGUGGAGCAUGUGGUUUAAUUCGAUGCAACGCGAAGAACCUUACCUACCCUUAAAAUCUCCGAGAUCUUCUAGAGAUAGAAGAGUGCCUUCGGGAAUCGGAUGAUAGGUGCUGCAUGGCUGUCGUCAGCUCGUGUCGUGAGAUGUUGGGUUAAGUCCCGUAACGAGCGCAACCCUUAUCCUUAGUUGCCAGCACAUUAUGGUGGGGACUCUAGGGAGACUGCCGGUGACAAACCGGAGGAAGGUGGGGACGAGGUCAAGUCAUCAUGGCCCUUACGGGUAGGGCUACACACGUGCUACAAUGGGCAGUACAAAGGGUCGCAAAACCGCGAGGUGGAGCUAAUCCCAAAAAACUGCUCUCAGUCCGGAUUGGAGUCUGCAACUCGACU